UUAUCAUCCAACGGUCUAGAACUUUACUCAUCUAACGGCCUUGAUUGCACAGGCCGAUAGUGUAAAUUUGGAUCCAAACACAACCAUAUAAUUUUUCCAUUAUAGCAUUUAUGAUUGAUGCUGAUGGGUACAUAAAAAAGCCACAAAUUUUGCAGAAGAUAACAUAAUCACAUGAAAUAAGGGACAUACACCAAUAAGUAAAAGUUCGAUGAGGUAGCACAUGAAAUAAAGGACAUACACCAAUAAGUAAAAGUUCGAUAAGGUAACCCUAGCCCACGCACAUCUUAUAUAUAUAAACACACAAACGUGAUUUGAUACGAACGAAACAGUCGUCAUAUCAAAUGUUUUUAUUAAUCACACACAUGCAGAUAGAUCGUGAUUGCAGCACACAGAUUAAUCACAGAUCAUAUACUUAAGCCUUAAGCCUUCUGUGUUUAUUUUGCAUCGGUGCUUGUAAGGUGAGCAUCAAUAUCUUUGGAGAGCUCAACUACAAACUGGAGCAAUGUAUGUGGAUCUUCAAUAUCGUCAUGGUGCUUCUCAUACUCCAUAGUCCAGUGCACGUUGCAUCCCUCGUCUUUCGGAGUUCCGUGGAUGGUGAUCUUGAAGCUCUUGUAAUGCUCCAUAAGAUCUCCUUCAAUCACUUUGAAAGUGAUCAGAUUAUUUUCAGCGUCUAUGGCUUCAAUCAACUCCUUAGCAACUUUGGCUUUUCCAUCUGCAUGCAUGAAAAUCUCACGUAAUUAAUAUGAUAUCACAAACUUGAGCUUAGUUAAUUUGGUUAGAACAAUGUAAGUUCAAAUCCACUCCUCAUAAAUUAGAUAAAUUUAGUAUAAAAAUGUCGCUUGUGUAUUUUAGGGUGGUACAUAUAUAUAAAAGAGUACUAUAGUCGAUAUUAAAUGAAGCAAGGUAGUUAGGAUCUUACCAUGGAAAUAAUUCCAGUAGACCACAGAUCCGACGGUUCCCCAGUCACCUUCAUGUAGGUCACAGCCCUGAAUGUUUCUAUUGCUGGCGUUGGAGAUGUGGUGUGGUUUGUGUGUGAACAUUUCAUGGAACUUGGCAGCAGAAGCCUUGAUUUCAACAUCGGUCUCCAGCUUACCACAAUCGCUAGACAUUUUCACCAAAAAACGGGUAUUUUCCAAAUAUUAUAGGAGGAAGUGUAGAGUUAUUUAGCCUAUAUAUAGAGUACUUAUUUGAAUAAAACUGAUUGGAAUCUUGCACUUAUAUAGACGGAGAAGGUGACCGCAUUAUAGCAACAAAUAAGACACAUGCUUAACAAUUGAGCUGAAAUAAUUGCCUCCACUCAGAUUAUGUUAUUAAUUUAGAAUAUAGUAGGUAAUAAAAGGAUUGAUUGGACAUGUCUAAUAUAACAGAUCAUAUAGAACUUUAACGAAAAACUCAUGAUACUGUUCACUUUAACGAAAAACCACAUUUUUACGCUAAAAAGUCAAUUCUAGUACUAUUCACUUUACCUUUUAUUUUGUCCUUAUCUUUAAAAAUCAAAGUUUUCAAGCUCUUUUCAUUAAUAUAUAUAGAGUAUAUACACAUCCAUUUUCACUUUUCACACACCCUUCUCAAUUUUCGGUCUUCAAAUCGAAUGAAUUGAAAAUGAUCAAAUGACUAAACUUAACAAAAGGUGUGUGAGAAGUGAAAAAUGAGUAUGUGGAUAGCACAUCCCUAUAUAUAUAUAGGGAUGUGCUAUUCACACACUCAUUUUUACUUCCCACACAUCAUUUGUUAGUUUCUAUCCGUUGAUUUUCUUUAAUUCAUCCGAUCCGACGACCAAAAAUUAGAAGAAUGUAUGAGAAGUAAAAAGAGGUGUGUGGAUAUCACACCCCAUAUAUAUAUAUAUAUGUGAAGAUAGAGAUAAAAAUAUAAUUUAGCAAAUUCAAUAAUUCAAAGAUCGAGACGGACGAGCUAACUCUCCAAAUUCCGUUGAAAUUCCUAUAACAAAAUAUAAAUCUUCAAUAUGGCAAUUGUGGCCGCAUAAUUUGUAAAAAGGGUAAAAAAUUGUUUACUACCCUCAUGUUUCGUAGUUUUUAACAUUUAGUACAUCAAGUUUUUUUCGUCGUCAUACCUAAAGUGUAAAUUUUUGGGACAGUCUCAUACAUCCGUUAGUCAAACUGUUAAGUCUCUUGUUAACUGUGACGUGGCGCCCAUGUGGACACUGACUGGGCGCCACGUGUCAUCCACGUGGAAAUUUAAAAUAAAUUAUUUAUAAAAUAAAUAAAUAUAUAUAUAAAAAAUAUAUAUAUAUAUAUAUAUUAAAAAAAUUUAAAAAAAACCUUCAUCUUCCCCAGAUUCGGAGGAAGAAGAAGAAGGAGAAGAAGGAGAAGAAGAAAGAGAAGAAUGGGAAGGAAGAAGGAGGAAGGAAGAAGGAAGAAGGAGAAGAAGGAGGAAGAAAAAAAAAAGUUGCACUCGGAGUAAGAAGAAGGAAGAAGAAGGAGGAAGAAGAAAAAAAAAAAAAAAUCUUUCCCAGAUUCGGAGGAAGGAGAAGGAAGAAGGAGGAAGAAAAAAAAAAAAAUCUUCCCCGGAUUCGGAGGAAGAAGAAGAAGAAGAAGAAGAAGAAGGAAGAAGGAGAAGAAGGAGGAAGGAAGAAGGAGAAGGAGGAAGAAAAAAAAAGUUGCAAUCCGAGAAAGAAGAAGAAAGAAGGAGGAAGAAGAAAAAAAAAAGAAAAAAGAAAAAAAGAAAAAACUGAAUUUGCAACCCAGAUUCGGAGGAAGAAGAAGAAGAAGAAGAAGAGGAGGAAGGAAGAAGGAGGAAGGAGAAGGAAGAAGGAGGAAGAAGAAAAAAAAAUCUUCUUAAGAAGAAGAAGAAGGAAGAAGGAGGAAGAAGAAGAAAGAAGAAAAAAAAAUCUUCCCCAGAUUCGGAGGAAGAAGAAGAAGAAGAAGGAGAAGGAAGAAAAAGGAAGAAGGAGAAGGAGGAAGGAAGAAGGAGAAGGAGGAAUGAAAAAAAAAAAUUGUAGUAAGAAGAAAAAGAAGAAGAAGAAGAAAGAAGAAAAAAAAAACGUGGAUGACACGUGGCGCCCAAUCAGUGUCCACAUGGGCGCCACGUCACAGUUAACAGGAGACUUAACAGUUUGACUAACGGAUGUAUAAGACUGUCCCAAAAUUUACACUUUAGGUAUGACUCUGAGACAAAAAAAACUUGAUGUACUAAAUGUUGAAAACCACGAAACAUGAGGGUAGUAAACAGUUUUUUACCCUUGUAAAAAAUCUUCUACAAGCAACAAGGAGAACUUUUGCAUUUGGAGCAAGAUACUGCUCUACUAAAGAUUUUAACCUCCAACACAUGAGGUGAAUAUACCGUAUUGUUCAUAAAGUAAAAACCUUUGUUCCCUGAGGUACCAUUUGGUACGCAGACGGGACGGGACGGAACAAAUAUUUCGUGUCAUGUUUGGUACUAGCAAGAUGGAACAAAACGGAACGGGGUUAAAUGACUAACUUACCCUUUUUAUUUGACUCUCCCUCUCUCUCCCGUUUCUCUGCUUUCUCUUCUUCCAUCCGUUUCGUGUUCUUCGCAUGCCCAGAUUGAUCCCAGUAAAAAUCAAUCUCAGUAAAACAAAUCCAUACUUUCUCUUCAUUUCAUUUUCUUUCUCUUCAAUUCAAACCCAUAUUUCUCUUUUUUUUUAAUUUCUUUCUCUUCAAACCAGACACAGAAAAAUCCCAAAUUAUUAUUUUAGGGAAAAACUAAUGAAAUCUUGAAAGUUCGUAUUCAAACAACCAUUUUUACUGUAAAACUUACAAAAUUAAACUAAAAAAGGUGAAAUUGAACAAAAUGCCCCGUUCUUAGCCUCCACCGGAUGCUCCUCAUUGAUGUGGCAGCAAAGCCCAACGACAUCAAAAUCCUCGGCGCAGAAAGGGCACAAAAACUCGGCCUUUAACUCAUCGUCUCUGUCAGUCUCUUCGUGCGAAAACAGAUCUGCACGACACCGGGAGAAGAAGGUGGAGCGCGGAGGUGAUGGCGCCAGAGAAGAAGGUUGAGCGCGGAGGUGACGGCGCCGGAGAAGAAGGUAGAGCACGAAGGGAGUGAACCGGAAGCCAUGGUUUGGGUUCAGAUGGAUUUACUGGGAUUGAAUUCAAAGAGAGGGAGGCUACGGGAGAGAGACAGUGGAAUUAAUGAAAAAGAUGAGGGGUAUUGUUGUCCAAAAAAUUAUAAAUUUGUGUUCCACGGGAUGGAACAACCCGUUCCAGGGGGGUAUGUGGAACCAAAAUUUAACCCAUUUUCGUUCCGUGGGACAGGCGUUCCACACAAUUUAAGUGCACCAAACGUGGGAUGGAACGCGUCCGUCUCACUUUGUUCCGUCUCGUCCCACAUACCAAACACACCCUGACAGAUACUGGUACAUGUUCAUCUCAUAUAAUUGAGCAAAUUAAAUAAUUUCAGUGGGGAGACAACAAUCAUGACGGGCGAGCUAAAUCUCCAAAUCGCAUUGAAAUUCAUAUAACAAAAGAUAAAUCUUCAAUAAGGCAGCCUCACCACAUAAUUUGUAGAAAAGCUACUACAAACGAAGAGGAACUUCUGCAUUUGGAGUAAGAUAACGCUCUACUAAAGAUUUUAACCUCCAAUAAAUGAAGUGAACUAUACCGUAUUGUUCACAAUUAAAAAUCUUUGCUCCCUGAUAUGGGUACGUAUAUGUACUCAUAUAUGAAAUUAUUGGGGACUGAAAAUUAAAUACAAGGUCCUGCCAUAGACAGCCUUGUGAUAUUCAACCCAUGUCCAGCGGCCUAUCUGAAUUCAAGGGUGAAUGAAACUAGAGUGGGAGAGUAAUGGCUCUGUCUCCUAUGGCCAAAGUAUUAAACACAAUUCGGUACAUAACAGGCUGUGAUGAUUAAUUGUUGUUGAUCUAACCACAAGUCACUACUCAUUACUGUUGAAGAUAGAAACCAUAUCAGCAGAAGAUUGUCUGUUAGAAAUGCUGUUAGUAGCUGUUAGAGUUUGUAAGAGUUUGUUAAGUCAGUUAACUCCAGCUUAAGACACAAGAAAGCCCAUGAGAGCUAUAUAAAGUUGUAGUAGUAUCCAUGUAAUUCGUUCAGAAGUAAUGCACUCAAAUAGUAUCUCUCUCAUCAAUUCCUUUCUUUUCUGCUUUCUCAUUCAUUUAAUCUUUCUCUGAGUUCUUCAUGUUCAUCUGUUAACAAUUAUAAUACUAAUUACAUUUCACAUAACAACAUCUAUGGAGAGGUUAUGUUCUAAUUUAGGUAUUAAACCAAGGAAAAUGCUAAUCCGACUCGCCAGAUAACAGCAUGUCAAAGAAGAAUAAACCACUUGCAGAGACUAUCCAUUAUCGUGCAUGCCUUAGCUAAUUAAUUAUCAUAUCCUGAUGGUGGUUUGUUCCAUAAUUUUCAAAGAUUUGCUGGAUAAUCCAAUUCCAUUUAAUAUUAAAAUUGUCAUCCAAUACUUGUUUCUUUGUUUAGAUAAGACAAAUUAAAAUUGACGUGCACUACAUACGUUUGCAAUAAUUUAUAGAGUAAUAUGUUAUAGAGAUCAUAUUUUGUAGAUUACAUGAUGUGGUGGUUGAUAAUUAAAUUCCUUAUUUAAAUCACUAAGAAAGAAAUCCAACAAUCAAGUGGUUUAUAAAUGGACAAGGAUUGCCUGCCCUCACACUUCCGGUACCCUCCCUCCUAUUUUGUGUGGUCACGGUUAAGCCACUUCAACAUUUUAUAUUAUUUUUUUUAUAGAGAUAAUAAGACAAAAAUGAAUAGUAAUAUAAAAUGUUGACGUGGUUUAACUGUGACCACACAAACAGGAGGGCACGGAAGGACACCGGAAGUGGGAUGGCAGACAAUCCUUGUCCUUUAUAAAUAUGAUUUUAAAAGGUGGUCUCCGUAGCAUUUUCCUAAUGAAAACACAUGUGUGUUGUGGAUGUAAAUUUCUUCCUCCUUGCUCUUUGACAAAAUUGCACUUACAAAACAAAUAACACCUUAGGUCAAGGUCAGGAGCCUCACGCGCCCACGAUAAAUGUGGGGGGCUUUGACCGAAGAACCUCCGAUGCCAAAGUUAGAAUUUUGAGGGAAAAUUGUUUAGAGAAUUUAAUAAGAGAAUUAGAAUUUGGUUUUGGAGAGAAAGAGGAUGUUUAUAUAGGGGUUUGGCCGACUCCUUUGGAUAGAGAUGGACCGGCCACUUGGAUAGCUUUGUGGGUGAAGUUCAUGAUUUGUGGUUAAUUAGCAAAUUAAUUGGAUAAUAAAUCAAUUAAUUAGCUAAUUAAUAUAAUAAAAAAAGAAUGAUUUGACGGUUACCUUGUGGAGAAGAUUUGAUGAGGAUAGAUGAAAUAGAUUAUAAAUUUUGGGCACUUUUUGACUUAAUUGAGGAAUAAUUGCCCACUACUCAUGCGUAGAAAUCCUGAUGUGCUUUGAAGGUAAUUUUAUCUUUUUACCUAAAAAUUCAUGUGUCGCCUCUUGAUUAUUUUGACUCCACUUGUAUCACUUUCUUAGCUAACUCGGCUGCUUUACUUCCCAGAUUUUUCUGCUGCCUCUUACAAAAUCGCCAGACACUCGAAGCAUAGCGCAGAGUAGUCAAACUAUUUGCAGAUUCCUCAUAGCAAGUGGAAUGGAUAAAAUCCUUGACAUUAUCCAGAUUGGAACCAAAAGGAAGCUGCUAAUUACACGUUCUUGUCAACUUGUCCGCACCGCAAGCAAGAUCUUCAUCGUCGUCGUCAUCACCAACUCAUCUAUUAAUCUCUAGGAGGCAUAGUUUAUUUGUACAUCAAUGUAUAGGCUUUGCAUUUUAAGUGACUCAUAUCUACUUACUAAACUACACGUUAAAUUCUUUAUUGCACAUUCAACUAUUGAAAUCAGCAAUGCAUCACCAACAUUAAUAUAUUAUAAAAUUUUAACCACACAUAAAAUUGUUUGCAAGCCAUUCGCCACAAAGCCUAUUUGGUACAAUCUCAAUAUUAACAUGCUCUAAGAGAUUAAUAAUAUUAUUUUUAUGUAAGUAUUUGGAAGGGAAGUUUUCAUGCCUUCUUGUCUUUUGCUUGUAUGCCUAGGAAUUUGUCAGCGGUGAGGUUUCUUACUUCAUUCCUCUUCUUUAUUUGUUUGGAAAGGUAUUUUUCCUUAAGGGUAGUGUUACAUUAAGAGGUAUAGCCUGCUAACGUAUAUGGGUCUUAUCUCUAUUGAAGAUAUGAUAUAAAUAGAUGGUAAGAAUAAUAUUUUUUGUAUUCUUAAAUAUAUAUGAAAGAAGGAGACUGAAAUAGUAUAAAAAGUGGAUCCAUAUGGAACCUAUGAAUAUAUCCUUUAAAAAAAAAGAGUAAGCUAGUAGCUUUGCCACAGUAGCUCACCCUUUCAGAGAUAGGAAGACUCAAAGGCAUUUCAGCCUCUCCUUGCCACCAUUUGUGAUUCACUAGCGUAAAAAAUUGAACUGAAGACGUGCCUUGUGAAAAACGGACCUAAAAUUUUCCCAAUGACUAGGCCACCCCGUGGUGGUUCUAUAAAAUAUAUUCAUAUAAAAUUAUAAAUUGUAACAUACGUAGCACAAAUGAUUUUGAAUUAAUGCUACACUUAUCACUUAUUUGUACAUUAUUUGUAUCAUCUCUCUAAUAGAGGUAUGGCUCCUCAACGGAUGUGAGUUCUAUUUCUAUUAAGAGAAUUCUCUCACCCACCUAAUCUCUCUCUCAUUUCCUCUCCUCCUAUUUGAACGGUUACGAUUAAGUUACGUCAACAUUUUAUAUUGAUCUUUUUAUAAAGACAAAAGGAUAAAAAGCAAAAUAUGAGAGGAUGUGAGGAAAGAUAAGAGAAGUAAAAGGGAAGAGACUCCUACUCCAAUAAGAUUAGCAUUUUUGGGAAAAUUUUGAGACUCCAUCUUUGAAGAUAAUUUUUUUUUUAAUACAUAAAAAAGACUAUGAUUGCUAAUUUUUAAUUCAGUAAAAAUAUUUUGGAUGACUCGAGGUGAGAGUCCUCCAUUCCAUUGUCUGGUAGCCCAGACCCAUCUGAGGGCCAUUUAGAAUUUCCGAUCCAGGCUUGCAUCUAGAAAGUGGGUUUUGAAUUGUUGGCCUAUCUGACUCGAAAAAAAUUUGUUAGACCGGCUAGGCCUUAAAUUGUUGGGCCGGUCCAUUUUCUUGUAUAUCAGGAAUGUUUUUCUUUUUAGUACAUUGUAAUCAAGAAGUUGAUUUCAUGGUUUGUUAAAAGUUUUGACAAGUUUAUAAAUAAAAGUAUGUCUUGCAGAAAACACUUGUGAGUAUAAGGCCUCGUUUGGUACGCCGUAUAGAGCAUCGGCUAUGACUAAUAAGAUGGAGCAGGUGUUUGGUGUCUGUAUGUAUUAAAUAAUUAUCAGAUUAAAUAAUCUGGCCCUACCAAUUUUAAACAGCUCAUCCGCUUAGUUGUACUCUCCAAAACUACGAUAUUAUUUAGUCGGGUUGCUCAGUCCUCUCUCGCGAUCCGCUCUCUCUGUCCCUCAAUCCACCACACACACCACCAAAUCUCGACACCAUGUCCUUAGUGAACCACAAGGCAUCGCUAAAGACCAGCCGAUGCCUCGUCGACGAUCGUAUCACUGAUGAAGUGAUGCCCUGAUAAUAGAUCUGAAGAGGAUGGUGAAAGAGAUGAUGAGUAGACUCUUUGUCUCUACAUCGGCUUCAUUUCAUCCUCCAAAAAAAGGUUUUAUAAACUUACCUAUGUUUUUGCGUUUAGAGUUUUUUCGAUUUGGAAAUGUGAGUAAAAUUGUGAGAAAUUCCAAACCACAGUAUCACCAAUGUGACUGGCCAUAAAAAACAACAUAACUCUAUUUUUUAGUAUAUACCACAUAGUAUUAUAGUCUAAUAAUAUUUCUAUUUACUUGCAAGCGAGUUUGAGUCAUUUAAUCAGAGAAAAUAGAGUUAGAGAGGAAGAAAGAAAGAAUUGCACUGAUAUUUCCUUGAUUAAUUCAAUGGUUACAAUGGUAUGCUUACUAUAUAGAUGAGUGCUAGGCUAACCACCUUAACCGACUCACUUCCUUACCAACAAUCCUAACUAAUUAUUCUAACAAUCACAUUCCUAACUGCCUUAUAUACUCUAACAUCGCCCCGCAAGCUCAUGGUGGUUCAAGCAUGAGAUUGUUACAAUUGGAGAGUAUAGGAUCUGGUCACUGCUGCACGCAUACCCUGCAAAAAGAAACCUCCUAGCAUCUGGAGCUCGUAUGUUACCAUUAUACCGUGUAUACCAUAGUACCCAAAUCAGCGUAGACUCGGUGCCCCCACCCUUAUCAUAAAUUCGCAUAUGGUAGCCUAACUGAAUAUCAAAUAUACAUCCACCAUUGCAUAACUGAAGUACAUAAAAUCCCCGAAACUCAUGUACAACAAUUUGAGUAGGAACACCAAUUUUCGUCUUGUUGUCAGCAUCAAAAUGAUAUUUCUGCGAACAAAUGGUAUGUGAUCUGCUAAUGUGUGAACUUUCUGCACCAACAGAACUAGGUAGCUGCUCCUCGGUUGCAAAGGAUCUUAAAUGACUCAAACCUAACAGUGCAUAGUGACCUUGUUCUUUACCUUUGCCACCAGAUUUCUUCUUACCUUGGUUGCUGGACAAAUCAAAUGAUGAUACAGAAGGUUGUUCCUUGGUAUUAACCAUCUUCUCAUCUUCAACUGCUGUCUUUUCCUCCACAUACCUUGUUUGGGACAAACUGUGAUAGUUCAUUAAAUCCAACUGUUGUUCUUGUUCUUGGUCCAGUUCUUGUUCUUGUUCUUGGUCCAGUUCUUGUUCUUGUUCUUGUUCCUUGAAGCUUCUUUCUGAGAAGUUUCUGUAAUAAUUAGGUAACACAUGAUUGCCAAUAGAUGGACUCUGAGAAUCACUGUCACCAAAUGCAACCAUGCCUUGGGCUUGGAAAGCAGAUUGUGAAGAAGUUUUUACAUUUAGACCUUCUCUUGCAUCCGUCAGGAAAUUUGUUGCAUUGGAAUUUCCAAGUGGCGAUAACUUGUGAGCUGAUGGAGAAUUCAGUUCACCAUCCUUGUUAUGACCAUAAAUUGACUGAUGUCCUGCCAUAACAGUUAUCUGUUGUGCAUCUAGAUCCCUCCUACUUGGAUCAGCCUCUUCAUUCUUCGUACCUUGCACUUGGUGUAGCCGGGAGUGGUCAUGACGAAAUCCAUGUGAAUGUUUUAAAGCAUGGCCAAGAAAUCCAAGAUUUCGUGCAGAGGGAGCCAGGCCAUUGCUGUCACUAUGAUGUAUUCCACCAAGAUCCCCUGUCUGUGAAGCAUCAAACGUCAUCUAUUCCUCCUGCUUCUCUUGUGCAGAAAUGAAGGCAAAAUCUGGAUUCCAAUCAGCAGAACAAUCCACAAUGGUUUCCUCAGCAAGCAAUUGUACGCGAAAGUCCUUAAGUGAAAUGAUAUUCUCACGCCCUCUGAGUACACAUUUAAAUGUGUUGUAUUUUGGAGGGAGUCCAUUCAGCGCAAAGACCACAAAGUCUUCAUCAGGAAAUGUAACACCAAGAAUAAAAAGUCCAUCCAUUGCUUCUUUAAGCCGUCGAAGAUAUUGGGAAACAGAAUCGGAUCCUUUCUUCAUGUUGUACAUAUCAAUCUUUAACUUGAUGAUACUAGUUCUUGUGACUGGUAAGAAAAAUUCGUCUUGAAGACGAACCCACAUCUCUUGAGAACUCUUGCUACCAAUCACACAAGAAAGUGCAGAUGAAGAAAGGGUUGCAGUAAGUAACAACAUCAAAGCAUGAUCAUGCAUUUUCCACACUUUAAAUUCAUCUAAUUCUGGUCUGGCAGAUGAUUCAGAUGUGAUUACAGAAUGUGUAGAUGUUGCCGCAUCCUGAGGAGGACAAGGAUUCGAUCCAUCAAUGAAUCCCAUAAUGCCAUGACCUUGUAGCAUCAUCUUCAUCAGAAAAUGCCACUGCAAGUAGUUAGUCUCAUCUAAUUUUACACAAGUAGAGGAAGAAACGGACGGAAUCAACGAUACAAUUGGGGAGUGCAAAAGUUGCAAUUGUGUAGCGGUAACCAUAACUUUUGUUGUAGAAAUGAACAACCCAGAUAGAGAUUUAGAAGAGAAACCCCAAAUUUGUUGCUGACAAAUCAAACUGGUUGAUCAGUUUUCUUUGAGAACAAAGAGCAAACACCUUGUGUGCACAACUUUGUUGAAUGUAGAAUGCAGAAAUGGGCAAUCGGAGAUGCCCAGAAAAACAGAGAAGACAUACCCAAUAUUUUCUGGUCAAUAUCUUCUAGUGAUCGGAGAUUGAACGAUCUUUAACUGAGCAGUAGUCACCAUUGUUGAUGUUGUAUAGAAUUCUUUCAUUGAGACAAUCUAUCGAACAAUUGGUAUGCAGAAACGAAGAACAAUUUCUUGAAGAUUCAUGGAGAUCGGAAGAAGCCAAUUGUUUUGUUUAUCACACAACAGAUUGCAAACUAGAGGGUAAAGAAGAGAAAGAAAUGCUUUGAUUGAGGUGCGGAAGCGCCAGGUCUAUUCGAGGCAAUGAUACCAUGUUAAGCAAUAUGCAGAAGGAGAAACAGAGAGAUCACAGAGGAAAAAGAAGAAGGAAUCAAAGAGAAUUUAGAGAGGAAGAAAGAAAGAAUUGCACUGAUAUUUCCUUGAUUAAUUCAAUGGUUACAAUGGUAUGCUUACUAUAUAGAUGAGUGCUAGGCUAACCACCUUAACCGACUCACUUCCUUACCAACAAUCCUAACUAAUUAUUCUAACAAUCACAUUCCAAACUGCCUUAUAUACUCUAACAUUUUUUAGUAUAUACCACAUAGUAUUAUAGUCUAAUAAUAUUUCUAUUUACUUGCAAGCGAGUUUGAUAUCAAUUUAUUCCUCUAUUUUUUAAUGUAAAUAUUGUAUCAAAAACUCUACUUUUUAAUAUAUUUUGCACACCAAACCUAGGGGUGGCUAGGGUGUGCUCCAGCCCAUCCCAACCUACAAAAUGUCCUACCUUUAACCUACUCUUAAACUACCAUCCUCCCACUUAAAUGGCUCAUCCCUACCCCAGAUUUUGGGCUGAAUCCGCGCCUCACUAUAUCAAACAAUUGAAAGAAAAGAAAAAGAGGUUGAUCAACUAUAUAAUUUUUUCAUUUUAGCAUUUAUGAUUGAGGCUGAUGGGUACAUAAAAAGGCCACAAAUUUUGCAGAAGAUAAAAUAAUCACAUGAAAUAAAGGUCAUACACCAAUGAGUAAAUGUUCGAUGAGGUAGCCCUAGCCCACGCACAUCUUAUAUAUAUAAACACACAAACAUGAUUUGAUACGAACGAAACAGUCGUCAUAUCAAAUGUUUUUAUUAAUCACACACACAUGCAGAUAGAUCGUGAUUGCAGCACACAGAUUAAUCACAGAUCAUAUAAUUAAGCCUUAAGCCUUCUGUGUUUAUUUUGCAUCGGUGCUUGUAAGGUGAGCAUCAAUAUCUUUGGAGACCUCAACUGCAAACUGGAGCAAUGUAUGUGGAUCUUCAAUGUCGUCAUGGUGCUUCUCAUACUCCAUAGUCCAGUGCACGUUGCAUCCCUCGCCUUUCGGAGUUGCGUGGAUGGUGAUCUUGAAGCUCUUGUAAUGCUCCAUAAGAUCUCCUUCAAUCACUUUGAAAGUGAUCAGAUUAUUUUCAGCGUCUAUGGCUUCAAUCAACUCCUUAGCAACUUUGGCUUUUCCAUCUGCAUGCAUGAAAAUCUCACGUAAUCAAUAUAAUAUCACAAGUUUGAGCUUAGUUAAGUUUGCUAGAACAGUGUAUUUCUCCCACUGCACUUAAGUUCAAAACCCCUCUCCAUAAUUUAGAUAAAUUUAGUAUAAAAUGUUGUUUGUAUAUUUUAGGAAUACAGUCGAUAUUA
This 12702-nucleotide long non-coding RNA is filed under the name Malus domestica (apple). RNAcentral describes it as "long non-coding RNA (MDOM_LNC011736)". Lineage: Eukaryota; Viridiplantae; Streptophyta; Magnoliopsida; Rosales; Rosaceae. The record is from RNAcentral.